Molecule: long non-coding RNA, 560 nt
Filed under: Homo sapiens (human)
Lineage: Eukaryota; Metazoa; Chordata; Mammalia; Primates; Hominidae
Description: non-protein coding lnc-CDH10-5:2
Source: RNAcentral
CAGGAUUCCAACUACAUAACAUUCUGGAAAAGACAAAACUGUGAAGACAGCAGAAGAGAAUUGGUUGCCAACAGAUGACAUAGAGGAUUUCACUCUUCUUCAUACAGAGUGAGAAAGCUGAGAUAUCCAGAAGUCAAGAAGUCAGAGGAGAUUUCAUUAAUCUUCACUGGAAUGAGAAAACGCAAUUUUGGUAUUUGUGACUACCAAGAACUUGGUCUUAAAAGGGAAAUCUGUAAUGGCAAAAACUAAACAAACACAUGCUAGAACAUUUUCAUCCUUCAUCCACUGAAAAGCUUAUCCUAUGUUUGGGUUUACAUCAGCAGCAGUCUCUGAGUGAAAUGGAAGUAUGAACAUAUGAACUAAGCAGCCAAGAUGACCAAGCUUAAUGUCGUCCCAUGACAAGUCCCAUGUAUCAACGCUGGCCUAGCUACUGUGCCUGUGAGAAUUCAACCUGUCAUGACAGAUUGAUGUUGAGCUCUGGGUGUUUGGGACUACAUGUGCAGUUUUGUUAUAUAGGUAAGCUCUGUCAUGGGGGUCUGCUGUACAGAUUAUUUCAUCAA